UGAUCCCUAUCUUUUUCUUUUUCUUUUUCUUUUCACAUCCACACAACCAUGAGCAUUUUCUUUGCUUUUUUCUUUCUUUUCUUUUUCUUUGCUCUAUGGUUUCAAGGGUGAUUUCUUUUUCUUAUUACAUUUUCUUUGCUUUUUUCUUUCUUUUCUUUUUCUUUGCUCUAUGGUUUCAAGGGUGAUUUCUUUUUCUUAUUUCUUUUCAUAUUUUCACCCUUUCAUAAAAACUCACUUUUCCAAGUUUCUAAUCACAUCUUUUUACUUUACUCUCCGCAACUUUAG
RNAcentral lists this long non-coding RNA (285 nucleotides) under Lathyrus oleraceus (garden pea). Its description in RNAcentral is "Pisum sativum (pea) long non-coding RNA (PSAT_LNC010732)". The record is from RNAcentral. Lineage: Eukaryota; Viridiplantae; Streptophyta; Magnoliopsida; Fabales; Fabaceae.